RNAcentral lists this ribosomal RNA (1358 nucleotides) under Cornufer guppyi (Shortland Island webbed frog). RNAcentral's name for it is "partial 16S ribosomal RNA". It matches the Rfam family "Bacterial large subunit ribosomal RNA", at positions 144 to 2583 of the family's 2925-position model. The record is from RNAcentral. Lineage: Eukaryota; Metazoa; Chordata; Amphibia; Anura; Ceratobatrachidae.
CUAAACAUCCAGCUUAAUUUCUAAAACCUAAACCCAAUCUUAAUAAAACAUUCUCACAUUUUAGUAAGGGUGAUUAAAAAAUUAAUAAACGCCUCAAAUAUGGUACCGUAAGGGAACGAUGAAAUAAUAAUGAAAUAACUUAAAGCUUAACACAGCAAAGACUAACACUUGUACCUUUUGCAUCAUGACCGAGCCAGUUUAAUCAAGCAAAAAGUAAACUUCAGUUUGACCUCCCGAAGCUGAGUGAGCUACUUCAAAAUAGUCUUUAGGACAAACCCGUCCCUGUUGCAAAAGGGUGGGAAAAUUUACAGUAGCAGUGAAAAGCUAAUCGAACUCAGAGAUAGCUGGUUAUCCAAGAAAAGAAUUUAAGUUCUACCCUAAGUUUACUCAUUAAAUUAAACAAAGUACUAAACUUAAGAGCUACUCAAAUAAGGCACAGCUUAUUUGAUCUAGGACACAACCUCGUAUCCCGGGUAACAUAUUUAACACCAAUAAGUAAGCCUAAAAGCAGCUUAAAAAGCGUUAAAGCUUUCACACCUUAUUUUUACUAAUACCACACAAUAUUCUAAACCCUUAACCACUAUUGGAUGACUCUAUAAAUUUAUGGAAGACAUCAUGCUUAGAUUAGUAAUAAGAAUAUGAAAUUCUCCUAAAUGUAAAUAUAAGCCACACCAGACAAACUAACGGCAAUUAACACUAAUGAACCCAUUACAACAACUUCACCAGAAAAACUUGUAACUUACAAUGUUAACCUAACACAAGCACAUUUCAGGAAAGAUUAAAAGGAAGAGAAGGAACUCGGCAAAUUAUAACCCCGCCUGUUUACCAAAAACAUCGCCUCUUGAUUAAACAUAAGAGGUCCAGCCUGCCCAGUGAUUAUUUAACGGCCGCGGUAUCCUAACCGUGCUAAGGUAGCACAAUUACUUGUUCUUUAAUUUAGGACUAGAAUGAAUGGCAUCACGAGGGUUACACUGUCUCCUCUCCCCAAUCAAUGAAAUUGACCUCCCCGUGAAAAGGCGGGAAUCAUACUAUAAGACGAGAAGACCCCAUGGAGCUUUAGACACCGAACAAAUUUAAACCAAACCCCUCAAGUUUAAAAUACAUGUCUCUAAGUCUUUGGUUGGGGCGACCAUGGAGUAAAAAACAACCUCCAUAAUGAAUAUAUAUUUAAGAACUACACCUCUAAGAAACAGUAUACUGACGUUUAAUGAUCCAGACCACUGAUCAAUGAACCAAGUUACCCUGGGGAUAACAGCGCAAUCUACCUUAAGAGUCCAUAUCGACAGGCAGGUUUACGACCUCGAUGUUGGAUCAGGAUACCCCAGUGGUGCAGCCGCUACAUAAGGUUCGUUUGUUCA